RNAcentral lists this transfer RNA (86 nucleotides) under Aureispira anguillae. It matches the Rfam family "tRNA". From Rfam's summary of the family: Transfer RNA (tRNA) molecules are approximately 80 nucleotides in length. Their secondary structure includes four short double-helical elements and three loops (D, anti-codon, and T loops). The record is from Rfam by way of RNAcentral. Lineage: Bacteria; Pseudomonadati; Bacteroidota; Saprospiria; Saprospirales; Saprospiraceae.
GUAUCCGUGUGCGAGCGGUUUAAGCAAGUAGAUUGUGACUCUACUGGACGAUAAGUCCGUCACAGGUUCGAAUCCUGUCGGGUGCC